RNAcentral lists this ribosomal RNA (435 nucleotides) under uncultured bacterium. Its description in RNAcentral is "partial 16S ribosomal RNA". It matches the Rfam family "Bacterial small subunit ribosomal RNA", at positions 28 to 507 of the family's 1533-position model. The record is from RNAcentral.
GAUGAACGCUGGCGGUAUGCUUAACACAUGCAAGUCGAACGGACUCUUCGGAGUUAGUGGCGGACGGGUGAGUAACGCGUGAGAAUCUGGCUUUGGGUUCGGGACAACCACUGGAAACGGUGGCUAAUACCGGAUGUGCCGAGAGGUAAAAGAGAAAUUGCCUGAAGAUGAGCUCGCGUCUGAUUAGCUAGUUGGUGAGGUAAAGGCUCACCAAGGCAGCGAGCAGUAGCUGGUCUGAGAGGAUGACCAGCCACACUGGGAAUGAGACACGGCCCAGACUCCUACGGGAGGCAGCAGUGGGGAAUGAUCCGCAAAGGGCGAAAGCCUGACGGAGCAAUACCGCGUGAGGGAAGCAGGCUCUUGGGUUGUAAACCUCUUUUCUUAGGGAAGAACAAAAUGACGGUACCUAAGGAAUCAGCAUCGGCUAACUCCGUG